UUUAUAAAUAUUCAUUUUAUUCACAAUUAAAAAAUAAAAAAUAAUAUUAAAUACUCUUUUACAAAUUUGUUUAAGAUUUUAGAAAAGGUAAAUUAUUGUCAUAUAACCUAUUAAAAUUUUCUUCUCUUUAGAAUUUUAGAAACAAUAUUGCUAUCAAAUAAUUAUUUUUAGUUAUAAAUAAAUAUUUUCAAAAUUGCUAUUUUUACAAAUCGUAUGAAUACUAAUUUUAUACUUCUUUGUUAAUUAUAUAAUUUUUAGUAUCAUGUUCAUCAUCAAACACUCUCUUAAAAAUUAUAUCAAAUACAUUUUUACAAUUCUCUUUUGGUUAGGACUUAAAAAUAUUAUACAAAUUUCUUUUGUUUAGUAUUUUUUUUUUAUAAAAAAAAGGAAAACAACUAUCAAAUAUUUUUUUACAGUUUGUAGGAUUUUAGAAAACGAAAUUAAUAUUACAUACUGUUUUUGCAAUUAUAUUUUGUCUAGGAUUUAAAAAACAAAAUUCUAUCAAAUAACUAUUUCCAGUUAAUAUUGACUAUUUUUAAAAGUUGCAAUUUUUAAAAUUCGUUUUUACAAUUUUUAUUGUUAAUUGAAUAAUUGUUACUAUCAUGUUUAUCAUUAAAUUUUUGAAUUAAAAAUUACUGUUAACUAAAAUUUUACAAUUCUCUCUAGUAACGAUUUAAAAGAAAAAAAAAAAAAUCUUAAUUGGUUAAGAUGAGAAAAAAAAAUUCUUUUAGAAAUUUCUUUUAUUUAAUAUUUUAAGAAAAGAAGAAGUUAUUUUCACAUAAUGGAAGUUUUUAGGGGAAAUUUUACUUUUACACUUUGUUUGAUACCAUAAUUCAACUUUACCAUCACUCUAGAGACAUUUUCAUAAAUACCUAAAUCAUUAAUGGCCAAAUGACUAAACUAACCUUUUUCAAUUUAUCUCUGAUUUUUCCAAUCUCGUCUUCUUCGUCAAGCUUCGGUGCCAUCUUCAUCGAGUCUCGCCGUCGCCGUAUUCAAGAGGCGGCGCUGCUGCUCCUUCCUCCUGAACAGUGUUCUCUCUCCUCUUAUCUCUCAGCUCCGAUGAAUUCUCCCUCCAGCUCCCGCGAUGACGCGUCUUCAGCAAAUCCCGAUGGUGUCCUUCCUGCUUUCUUCUUCUGCACCGACGACUCAGACAGCUCAGCUCAACCAUGGCGUUCACCUAAGUUUGAAGAAUCCCUCAGUUGCACGUGGUAAUUCUCUUGGUUUGAUGUCUCCAGACCCUCCCGAACCACCAGAUCCGCCGGAUUUGGGAUCUGUCAUGGUGGAAUCAAAUCUUGUGACAGUCUCCUUUGAGUAUGAUCUUUCAUCUUCUAUGUAUGGCCUUGAUUUGCUUUAGGUUACAAUGGGGAUGGACUUGAGGGUUGUUCCGGCAGAGGAGUGGUGGGAAGAAUGAGGGAGAGAUUCUAGCCUCGAUGGUGAAAGUGACCUAGGCCUUAUGGUUACGGAUUUUCUCGAGAUGGGAGGUGGUGGAAGCGGUGGUGACCUAGGCCUUAUGGUUACGGAUUUUCCGGAUCCUUCUUACCUUUCCGAUAAGAUUCAGAAUAAACGUACAGCAAAGAACAUCAUUGAUUUUGUCAUCUGUACAUAGUUGCUAAUCACAUUCCAAUGGAUAGCACUUGCCUAGAGAAUUGUUUCCAGUGUGCUCUCUUCUGAUGCUUAUAAUGUUCUUGCAACUUCACACCCCUUUGUGGCUGAGGAUUUCCUCACAAUUUCAAGGCUCAUCAAAAUGGUGUAUGAUCACCUUUGUAGCCAAGUUUCUUGCUGCUCUUUAUGCCUUUAUUACUGCAGCAUGUUCGGGUAGCAGUUCACCGAGUGUCUCCUCUGAUUCCCGUGGCUUCAUCUCACCAAUUAGCAUUUUGUGAUGUUUCAAUUUUAAGUUGCUUAAGUGUUUUGUUUGCCUUUAUCUGUGUUUAUGUUAUCUGCUUAGCCUUUGAUGCAACAGUUUCCUUCUGUCAUUUUGGCUGUGUUAUUAUGUUUGCUAAACAAUGUCUCCAUUGAUAGAGCUUGAGUUUUAUUUAUAAAAUUUGGUUUGAUCAAAAAGAGAACGAGUAUAUCUGGAAAGCUUUCUAAAUUUCUUAUUAAAGUAUAAUUCAUUUAUAACAGUUUAUAAAGACAGUCUAUAAGGAUAUGUAUAAAAUAACUUGAACUUAGUUUUCUACAAGGCUUUAUAAGGAUUAUAUAAAUAAUUUAUAAAUGUUUGUAAAUCAUUUAUGAAAAUUUAUAAAUCUUUAUAAAUACUUAUAAAAUAUUUAUAAGGGUUUAUAAAAUAUUUAUGAAUAUAUAUAAACUAUUUAUAAAGGUUUAUAAAUCAGUUAUAAGAAUAUAUAAAAAUAUUUAUAAGGUGUUAUAAAAUAUUUAUAAGGAUUUGUAGAAAACUUUUGUCUAAAUUAUUAACUAGUUUUAAGGGAUUAUAAUUCAUUUAUGAGAAUGUAUUAAAACUUUUUAUAAGGGUCUAUAAAUCAUUUAUAAGAAUAUUUAAAAUUGUUGAAAGA
This is a long non-coding RNA of Brassica rapa (field mustard), 2510 nucleotides long. RefSeq lists it as uncharacterized. NCBI's taxonomy places the organism in Eukaryota, Viridiplantae, Streptophyta, Magnoliopsida, Brassicales, Brassicaceae. The record is from RefSeq and is a predicted model, not a curated record.